UAUCAGGAAUGAUAACUUUAAUUGGAAGCAGACAUCCUUGAUUAAGUGGGAUAUUUUCAGAUAUCAAAACACGUAAACAAUAAAUGAUGGCGCUAUAAGUUACUGCCUCCGGGGCGUUAAUAUUUCCAUAGAUUUCUUCAGUUGUACCAGUAAAAUCAAAUAUGGCAUCGCCGUUUUCUUCAUCAAUAGUGAUGCGUAAGCAUAUCUUUGACCCAUCGUCCAUA
Schizosaccharomyces pombe (fission yeast) is the source of this 224-nucleotide non-coding RNA. Lineage: Eukaryota; Fungi; Ascomycota; Schizosaccharomycetes; Schizosaccharomycetales; Schizosaccharomycetaceae. The record is from the annotation of a GenBank genome assembly.